GCUGGCGGCAUGCCUAACACAUGCAAGUCGAACGUGAUCCAGGCUUCGGCCUGGUGAAAGUGGCAGACGGGUGAGUAACGCGUGGGAACCUGCCCUGUGGUAGGGAAUAACCGUGGGAAACUGCGGCUAAUACCCUAUGAGUCCUUCGGGAGAAAGAUUUAUCGCCAUAGGAGGGGCCCGCGUCGGAUUAGGUAGUUGGUGGGGUAACGGCCUACCAAGCCUUCGAUCCGUAGCUGGUCUGAGAGGAUGAUCAGCCACACUGGGACUGAGAUACGGCCCAGACUCCUACGGGAGGCAGCAGUGGGGAAUAUUGGACAAUGGGGGCAACCCUGAUCCAGCAAUGCCGAGUGGAUGAUGAAGGCCUUCGGGUUGUAAAGUCCUUUCGGCGGGGAAGAUGAUGACGGUACCCGCAGAAGAAGCCCCGGCUAACUUCGUGCCAGCAGCCGCGGUAAUACGAAGGGGGCUAGCGUUGUUCGGAAUUACUGGGCGUAAAGGGCGCGUAGGCUGUGCUGUAAGUCAGGCGUGAAAGCCCCGGGCUCAACCUGGGAAUUGCGCUUGAUACUGCGGCGCUGGAA
This 575-nucleotide ribosomal RNA is filed under the name uncultured soil bacterium. Its description in RNAcentral is "bacterial SSU rRNA". It matches the Rfam family "Bacterial small subunit ribosomal RNA", at positions 35 to 646 of the family's 1533-position model. The record is from RNAcentral.